RNAcentral lists this long non-coding RNA (1554 nucleotides) under Anser brachyrhynchus (Pink-footed goose). RNAcentral's name for it is "lncRNA (ENSABRG00000002065.1)". The record is from RNAcentral. Lineage: Eukaryota; Metazoa; Chordata; Aves; Anseriformes; Anatidae.
GUUUGAUGUGAUCAAUUGCUGAAGUAACGUACCCAGAAAAUAACAACGCAAGUCCCUCAGCAGAGCCCUGUCCAAAGGCAGAAGUAGGAGUUAUUAGCUAAUAGCUCGCUGAAGUGAUCCCGCAUACAGGGUUAGGAAGUUACGGCGAUUUUACAGCGUUUGUGUCUGACACGGCUACAUGGAGAAACCUGGGAGAGAUGAGCAAGCCAAGCACAUCCAUUAAGGGAAGUGAGACCUGCACGGCUGAGGGUGCUCCCUGUCCAGGGAACGCGCUCUGAGGAAAGGACGGCUCCUCGGAGCACAGCGGACAAGAGGCCAAGGGAAGACAGAGCAGAGAUCCCUGCAGCAUUAAAGCGUUAAGAGAACCCAACCAUAAGCUGGCAUUUACCUCUUUAUUCCUCGUUACAGUGUGUAACAAGUAGGCCACUGCUUAUGGAGAUUUAGCUCUCAGGCCUGUCCUGCACUCAGCAAGAAAGUCGCGGUUAAAUCUUUGCCCAUAUGCUUGCUCAUUCUUUUCCUAUAGGAGAAGAGUGUGUGUGUGGGGGGGUGAAAGCACGAGGAGAGGCUGAUUAGGACCAUUAGGGCCAAUUAAUGCAAUGCCCUGAUGCUGGCAUCUUGUCUUGCCUGUUUGCAUCACUGAGUCACAAGUUCUCUCCACCUCCAGGAUGCUGCCUGCUAAUCCCCCACCACCUCUGGGUGCUGGGAGGAACCACGUGGGAGUGCUACACGGGAAUUUAGGGUGUCUCCGAAGGGCACCUAUGUGUUCAAGGAUUAGCCAGGAAACAUGCUUCCCAGGGGCUGUCGCACUCCGCCAUAUAACUCUGCACAUGCUUCCUGAGCGUCACCACAGGGAGCAGAUGGGCCUUCAUCUGGCUGAGCGCAGCUGCUGCUACAUUCUUAUUUGCUGACUGAUCUGUGGAAUCUUUUCUAAGGACUGUUUGCUUCACCUUAACAGAAACGACCUGAACAGGGCAGAAUGCUUUGCCUUUACACUGAAAUUCAACCUCCUCAAGGUGCAGAAUGCCUCUAACUCAGUAAGUCAUAACAACCUGUAGAUUUGAUGUCUCCUUCAUGCUUUCCUCAGUUCCCAUGCAGCACCUGUCUUAUUUUGAAUGGUGAACUGGAGCAACUUCAAAAUAACGGUUGUAAAGAAUAUUCUGGCAUUGUUACGGUGCUGUGUCCCAGCUGAACUUUUUAUAUAUCCACACCUCUUUAUCCCCAGUAUAGCCCCAAUAAUUUGGUGCUGUAGUACUGCAUCUCACAGAACUGUCUCAUGUACAAAUUUAUUUAUUUAUUUUUAAACUAAUGUGCACCCUUGGUGUGGUUGCAAGCAGUGUAUUGGAGAGAUGAAUUUGGAAUACAGACAAUCUAAUUGCAUCUCUGCUGCAUUAUCGCUAGUGUAACCAAGGACUCUGGGUCAAUGCCAAAACAAAAUCAUGAAACUGAUUGGUUUUCAACUUUACAUUAUUAAUUGUUUCUGCAUUUCUGAUGUUGUUCAUAUCCAAAACAAAUACUAGGAGCCAAAUAAACCUUAAUUUUGAUUCUGGUUUUACA